CUCACCUGUGCUCUCCAAAGCAGUUACACUUGACUUGGUUCUUCUCCAGGAGGAGCAGCUUUGUGUUCCUGAGCUGAUUAUCGACUAAAUAUGGACGAAGAGAAAGCCGAACUCUUCCAGGCUCUGAGAGCCAUGGCUUUUUUAGAGGCGUUGGAAAUACAAGCGGAAAUUCUGAAAAGGCUGAUUGCUGCAUGUCGCCCUGAAAGUCCCAGGAGCUCUGCUGAAAGGAAAAGAUUAAUAAACCUUGCAAUAGAAAACUGCAAAGAUGAAACUGUCCUGCAGUGGCUGAGAGAAAAUUCAGAGUCUGGCACCUUCAGAAAACUCUCAGACAUGUUUGAUUUCCUGAAAAGAAAAAUUGAUGAGGAAGAAAAGAAGAACCAUGAUGACACUGUUGACAUAAUCUUUGUGUCACAUGGAUCAAUCAGAGACUCCAUGAUCCCAGCCAGCUGUUUGCUGCCUCUGCCCACCAUCACUGACCUGGUCCUGUACUCUCCCUGGAACUGUGGCACCACUGGUGAUGUAACCUAUGGCAUUGCAACAGGAAAAAUGAGGCCACAGCACAGAGUUUUUUACCAUAGAAAAGAAAAAGACGGUAAAAUUACUCCUGAUACACAUCAACCCCUGAACCUGCCAAACUACUGGAACUCACUGAAGAAAGCUGGAGGACGGAAGAUCCCAAACAUCAUUGUUAGCCCUCUGCAGGAAGAUGAAGGAGUGUGGAAAAAAUUUAAGUCUCUCUCAACAAAAUAUGGUCCACCAGGACGA
This is a long non-coding RNA of Oreochromis aureus, 765 nucleotides long. The record is from Ensembl. Lineage: Eukaryota; Metazoa; Chordata; Actinopteri; Cichliformes; Cichlidae.